Molecule: microRNA precursor, 111 nt
Filed under: Bigelowiella natans CCMP2755
Lineage: Eukaryota; Cercozoa; Chlorarachniophyceae
Description: miRNA EPrBNAG00000013442
Source: RNAcentral
GGAAGGAGGAGAUGCUGGUGCUGGUGGUGCUGGUGGUAGUUGUGAAGCUCCUUGUGUUGGGAACGAAUAUCUCUCCUGCUGUCAUCAUCAUCAUCAUCAUCAUCAUCACAU